Dipodomys ordii (Ord's kangaroo rat) is the source of this 70-nucleotide non-coding RNA. The record is from Rfam. NCBI's taxonomy places the organism in Eukaryota, Metazoa, Chordata, Mammalia, Rodentia, Heteromyidae.
GGGAAUGUGGCUCAGUGGUAGAGUGUUUGUCUAGCACACAUGAAGCCCUGGGUUUGAUUCCUCAGUACCA